GAAUUUUCAUUCUAUCAAUGGUAGAAUUUUCAUUCUGCCAUUCUAUUUACCUGGAUUAGCUGUGGAUUCUUGGUGUUUCAGGAGAUCUUAAUUUCUGACUAUACCAGAGUUGUAUUUUGUCCUAAAAAGUGCCACUGGAGUACAUGUGCUGUGUUUCCACUACUUAUUCUUGCACUUUUAGCAAUGAAUCAGACACAGAUAGAAAUAUAUUUUGAAUAGCUAAAUGAAAAAAAGAAAAAAAAUGCUUUACUAAAAUCAGAGCCAUUUUAUUAUUUUAAACAUCAUGAUUAUGAUCAAAAGCAUCAUAAAAACCAUUAGUUGCAUCUUUUUUUCCUUAAUUAAAUAACCGAGAUAAUAUGUCUGCCAUAUCUCUAAGAGAAUCUUGUAUAAUGUGAAAUUGUAGGGAAUCUGCUUUGGUAAGAAAGAUUUAUCUUUUUAAAUACUAUCAAUCAAAAAAAAGAUCUGAU
Molecule: long non-coding RNA, 467 nt
Filed under: Bos taurus (domestic cattle)
Lineage: Eukaryota; Metazoa; Chordata; Mammalia; Artiodactyla; Bovidae
Description: long non-coding RNA NONBTAT021495
Source: RNAcentral